GAUGAACGCUAGCGACAGGCCUAACACAUGCAAGUCGAGGGGCAUCGGGGUGUAGCAAUACGCUGCCGGCGACCGGCGGAUGGGUGAGUAACGCGUAUGCAACCUGCCUUCAGCAGGGGGAUAGCCCGUUGAAAGACGGAUUAAUACCCCAUAACACAGGGGCUCCGCAUGGAGAUUAUUGUUAAAGGGAUACUUCCUUCGGGGGGUAUUCCGGCUGAAGAUGGGCAUGCGUUCCAUUAGGUAGUUGGUUGAGGUAACGGCUCACCAAGCCUGCGAUGGAUAGGGGAACUGAGAGGUUGGUCCCCCACACUGGUACUGAGACACGGACCAGACUCCUACGGGAGGCAGCAGUGAGGAAUCUUGGUCAAUGGACGGAAGUCUGAACCAGCCAUGUCGCGUGAAGGAGGACGGCCCUAAGGGUUGUAAACUUCUUUUAGCAGGGGAAUAAAGUAUUCCACGAGAUGGGAUAUUGCAAGUACGCUGCGAAUAAGGAUCGGCUAACUCCGUGCC
This 510-nucleotide ribosomal RNA is filed under the name uncultured bacterium. RNAcentral's name for it is "bacterial SSU rRNA". It matches the Rfam family "Bacterial small subunit ribosomal RNA", at positions 28 to 509 of the family's 1533-position model. The record is from RNAcentral.